Molecule: long non-coding RNA, 456 nt
Filed under: Mus spicilegus (steppe mouse)
Lineage: Eukaryota; Metazoa; Chordata; Mammalia; Rodentia; Muridae
Description: lncRNA (ENSMSIG00000028340.1)
Source: RNAcentral
GAGCCCCCCAGGUCUUAGAAGGGUGGUUGCUAGUGAUAGUAGCUUUGGUAUAUCUGGUGGGUGGCUGAAGACCCAGCUCAGACCUAAAGAAAAUGAGGAAAAGCAGAGGGGUAAGAAAGAGAGAUGCCAUUAGCUUUGUAGUCUAAACAUACCUAUUUUUCUCAUUGCUGUGAGUUCCUUUUUUGGUUCUCUGGAACACAAUGCAAUAUCAAGUGCUUUGACUAGUGCUUUGUGCCCAGCAGGUGGUUGUCUGAUGAGCAGGAGACAGCAUGAAGCCAGUAACAACAGCAUUGACCUAUGAGGUCUGUUAGACUCCAGGGAAAUCUCUACAGCAGCAUCCCUCGAGGCAGUCUCUACAUACAACUCCUGGAUGGGUUUCUGCUCUUAGACAAAUGGAGACUGACCUCGAAUCCUGUCUUUGGAGUCCCAAGAGAGCUCUUCUCUCCUUAUCUCAAG